GAUCAUGGCUCAGGACGAACGCUGGCGGCGUGCUUAACACAUGCAAGUCGAACGAGAAUCUGUGGAUCGAGGAUUCGUCCAAGUGAAGCAGAGGACAGUGGCGGACGGGUGAGUAACGCGUGAGGAACCUGCCUUUCAGAGGGGGACGAACAGUUGGAACGACUGCUAAUACCGCAUGAUACGUUUUGGGGGUCGAUCCCCGAGACGUCAAAGAUUUAUCGCUGAAAGAUGGCCUCGCGUCCG
Molecule: ribosomal RNA, 243 nt
Filed under: uncultured bacterium
Lineage: Bacteria
Description: partial 16S ribosomal RNA
Rfam family: Bacterial small subunit ribosomal RNA
Source: RNAcentral